This is a long non-coding RNA of Cololabis saira (Pacific saury), 237 nucleotides long. RefSeq lists it as uncharacterized. NCBI's taxonomy places the organism in Eukaryota, Metazoa, Chordata, Actinopteri, Beloniformes, Belonidae. The transcript is spliced from 3 exons. The record is from RefSeq and is a predicted model, not a curated record.
UCACAGUGAAUCAGCCACAGGACAGAGAUCUUUCCACCUUGCUCUGCCGCGGCUUCAACUCUCGGGGAUCAUCCAGUCAUCAGUUUUGUGUCAACAGUCUUCAGUCUUCAGAAAGUCUAGAUGGCGUGUUGUUGCCAAUUUUCAUCAGCACAUGUGCUGUUUUAUUAGUAGCGUGCCUUCUGCUGUUUGUGGCAAGGGCUCUGAACAAACACUGUAAUCUUACAAGUAAAACCAACA